Long non-coding RNA from Papio anubis (olive baboon), 2925 nucleotides. The record is from Ensembl. Lineage: Eukaryota; Metazoa; Chordata; Mammalia; Primates; Cercopithecidae.
GAUGAAUAUCAAUUUUCUCUUACCUCCAUAAUUCAUUCGCGUUAUAAUGAAAGUUGACAUUUUAAACCAGGUGGAUAAGCUUCUGUUCAACUCUCUUAACAAGAGUACUGUUGGAGUCCGCGUGUUUCCUAAACAAAGGAAUGAACACACAAGACAACACAGGACAAGACAAACAUGGCGGCCGCCUCGAAUGGUUCUUCCAAGAAAGGUACACACUUUGUGGUCGUCUCUGUUGCAACUGAGCAAAGAGCCAGGAUUGGGACUAUUAGCUUUCACGGGGCCCAGUGUUCAGCACCUGUCAUGGCAGUCAGGGGAUCCUCAAUAUGUGUUGAAUGCUGGGCCUGGAGGAAAAAUAUCAGAAUUGUUUUAGACUGUGAUUUUUUCCAUGUGUACAACGUUAGAAUUUGUUUUCUCAAGUACUAAAUAUCUGCUCACAUGACAAUACGAAAUAUGAGUUCUCUUGUAUGGAGGAAAGUACUGAAGUUCAGAAAAAAAUGAUUUGUCUCACAUUGCACAGGUAAUAAAUUAGAACGCAAUUGGAGUCUAGAUCUUCAUAUUUUAAGUUCUGUGUCUUCACGUUUUGAGUUGAGGAUUUCUCUAGCACAGUCUCCUCAAUUUCCUUUGGCUUCCUGGUUAAGAUUACAUUGAAAAGUGAAAUACAACUUACUUUCAUGAAUUUAAGAAUGCUGCAAUAAAAAUGAAUGUGUGUGUGCUUUCGUUUUAGAAUCACACUAAACAUACAUACAUAAAUAUAUAAAUUUGUAGAAGGAUUACACUAAACUGCUAUUUAUCACAUCAAAUUUAACAACCUCCUUAUAAACGCACAUACUGAAAUGGCCUGGUUACCUGAAACUCUGUGGGUUUCUGCCUAUAGCCAUCCACAUCCCUGUGUGGCUAGCUAUAUCGUGUGCAGACAGGAGGAAGUCUGACUUUAAGAUGGUAUCUUGUAUGUGAGAAAAUGUUAAUGGAAACGCUUAUACACAAACCAUCUGUCAAUGCUAUUCAUAUAUGGGGGAAAAAAAAGACUAAUUGUGCCCUUUGAAGUAAUACUAUGAUAAUGUGGUUUACUAGGAUACAAGUCAGGAGCUCUGAUUAUAUGAUGUUCCUAUAAUUUGUAUGUCUCAUUGCCAGUAUUAUUUUUCUGUUUGCAGUUUAUUAUUUUUGAAAUCAUUAUAUUGCCUUUUAAAUUGUUAAUACUAGCUGUAAAUGGCACAAUUGCUGACAUGAAAGACAGGAUAGGGUAUAAAUCUUUUUUCCCUUACCGCUCCUCAUUGACCUAAAUACUUCUACUCCUACUCCUCACCGCCAUUAUUUCAGCCUUUUAAUUUGGAUUCCUUGAUGCUACAACAGAUUUGUAUGUCAGUAUCUCAAUUUUUUAAACAUAAAGUAUGUGCAUUUGUCUGCUCUUUCUUACCCAGGAACAGUAAGAUAAUAUUAAAGAGGGCUAAUGAAAAAGAAAUGACCCCUAUGUACUUUGGGAAAAUAAGAAGGAACCAAAAUCCAAGACUUCGCAAAGGAAACAAUUCAACUUCAAAGGUUGUACAAAGUAAAUGAAGCACCAACUGUGCGUUUAAAUGGAUGAUGAAAGAAAUGGCUGCCAUCCACAUUUUACCCACAGGAGCUUUUGGUUUUCAUCCAGACACAACAAAUACAAUAAAAGAUACAAAGAGACUACAUGGAAAAGAUAAAUUUAUUAUAUAAAAUAUAUAAUAUAUACAUCUUUAACUAUAAAGAUAGAAUUGUAAGUACUUAAAUAAGUGAUACAGGGGCAGGGUGCAGUGGCUCAUGCCUGUAAUCCCAGCACGUUGGGAGGCUGAGGUGGGCAGAUUGCCUGAACUCAGGAGUUCCAGACCAGUCUGGCCAACAUGAUGAAACCCCAUCCCUACUAAAAUACUCAAAAUUACCCAGGCUUGGCAGCAUGGCCUGUAAUCCCAGCUACUUGGGAGGCUGAGACAGGAGAACCCCUUGAAUCCGGGAGGUGGACAUUGCAGCAAGCCGAGAUCGCACCAUAGCACUUUAGCCAGUGUGACAGAGCAAGACUCCAUCUCCAAAAAAACAAACAAAAAAAGAAGUGAUACAGGUAUGAUGUAUAAGAGUUUAAGGGAGCAAUCAAUUUAAUUUGGAAAGACAUAUAAUUCUGAUUAAAUCUUAAAGGUAUUUUGUAUCCUACACAUGUCUCAUAGGGACACUCUCCAAGGUCGAAACAAUUUCACAUCAGAACUUCUAAAUUCUUUUCUUUUCUUUUUUUUUUUCCUGUGGACAAGAAAAAAUUUCAGGCCUUGCUUUAUUCUCAUGUAAUCAUCUCUGGUGAAUACACUGAGCAUUUUCUUCUCUGAAUUACAUUGGGUGACAUCACACAUGAAUACUGACAUGAGAAAUUUGAGCCAGAGCUUCCCUUUACCCAUGAAGGUAGGUGAGCAUCACCUUUGGGGGUAGGGAAGGUCUCCUGCCAUUGGCUGGUCACUUGUUUGCUUGUAAAAAACACAAGUCAGCUUUCCCAACUGUGUGAACACGAACAGAUUUGCUGCCUUCAGCUUUGAGUAAUAUAAUUUUCAGUACCUUAGGCCUUGCCUUUCAGAGCUUGUUGAUAACCCCUGGACUCUUCCUCAUCUAGGGUAACAUCUAGGCCUUGUGACCCCCUUGUAGGAAAUGUUGAGUGAAAGAAAAUUCAAUGAAUACCCAAUAAAAUAUGAACUCUAUUUUCUCAUUCUAUGUAGUUCUGGAAACGCAUAUUUUUAUUGGGUUUAUAAGUUAAGAAGUGUAUUUAGAAUGGUCCUUGAACUGAAGCGAACUCACAUUCAGGUAAAGGUAGUAUUGUUACAAUUACAAUCUUGUUAUCAUCAUGCUUGUGUUGGAGAUCCUACACAAGAACAAUUUGGUUUGUGUAAACAUGGUAUAUUUCUUGGCCAAUAAAAUUAAAUUAAA